This 497-nucleotide ribosomal RNA is filed under the name uncultured bacterium. RNAcentral describes it as "partial 16S ribosomal RNA". It matches the Rfam family "Bacterial small subunit ribosomal RNA", at positions 28 to 507 of the family's 1533-position model. The record is from RNAcentral.
GAUGAACGCUGGCGGCGUGCCUAAUACAUGCGAGUCGAGCGAACAGACGAGGAGCUUGCUCCUCUGACGUUAGCGGCGGACGGGUGAGUAACACGCGGAUAACCUACCUAUAAGACUGGGAUAACUUCGGGAAACCGGAGCUAAUACCGGAUAGUAUAUUGAACCGCAUGGUUCAAUAGUGAAAGACGGUUUUGCUGUCACUUAUAGAUGGAUCCGCGCCGCAUUAGCUAGUUGGUAAGGUAACGGCUUACCAAGGCAACGAUGCGUAGCCGACCUGAGAGGGUGAUCGGCCACACUGGAACUGAGACACGGUCCAGACUCCUACGGGAGGCAGCAGUAGGGAAUCUUCCGCAAUGGGCGAAAGCCUGACGGAGCAACGCCGCGUGAGUGAUGAAGGUCUUCGGAUCGUAAAACUCUGUUAUUAGGGAAGAACAAAUGUGUAAGUAACUAUGCACGUCUUGACGGUACCUAAUCAGAAAGCCACGGCUAACUACGUG